UACGUAGGGUGCAAGCGUUAUCCGGAAUUAGUGGGCGUAAAGAGCUCGUAGGCGGUUUGUCGCGUCUGCUGUGAAAACCCGAGGCUCAACCUCGGGCCUGCAGUGGGUACGGGCAGACUAGAGUGCGGUAGGGGAGAUUGGAAUUCCUGGUGUAGCGGUGGAAUGCGCAGAUAUCAGGAGGAACACCGAUGGCGAAGGCAGAUCUCUGGGCCGUAACUGACGCUGAGGAGCGGAAGCGUGGGGAGCGAACAGG
This 253-nucleotide ribosomal RNA is filed under the name uncultured bacterium. RNAcentral's name for it is "partial 16S ribosomal RNA". It matches the Rfam family "Bacterial small subunit ribosomal RNA", at positions 524 to 776 of the family's 1533-position model. The record is from RNAcentral.